AACCAGCACCUCGAGUGGUCAGGAGGUUUAUUGGGCCUAAAGCAUCCGUAGCCGGUUGCAUAAGUUUUCGGUUAAAUCUAUGCGCUCAACGUAUAGGCCGCCGAAAAUACUGUGCAGCUAGGGAGUGGGAGAGGUACACGGUACUCAAUAGGAAGGGGUAAAAUCCUUUGAUCUAUUGAUGACCACCUGUGGCGAAGGCGGUGUACCAGAACACAUGCGACGUUGAGGGAUGAAAGCUGGGGGAGCAAACCGG
Molecule: ribosomal RNA, 253 nt
Filed under: uncultured archaeon
Lineage: Archaea
Description: partial 16S ribosomal RNA
Rfam family: Archaeal small subunit ribosomal RNA
Source: RNAcentral